AACGAACGCUGGCGGCGUGCCUAACACAUGCAAGUCGCACGAGAAAUCCUGGGCAACCGGGAGAGUAAAGUGGCGCACGGGUGAGUAACACGUGGGUAACCUACCCUCAGGUGAGGGAUAACUUCGCGAAAGCGGGGCUAAUACCGAAUAACAUACCGAUUCCCAUGGGAGUUGGUAUCAAAGAUGGCCUCUGCAUGCAAGCUACUGCCUGAGGAUGGGCCCGCGUACCAUUAGCUAGUUGGCAGGGUAAUAGCCUACCAAGGCGACGAUGGUUAGCUGGUCUGAGAGGAUGAUCAGCCACACUGGAACUGACACACGGUCCAGACUCCUACGGGUGGCAG
Molecule: ribosomal RNA, 341 nt
Filed under: uncultured Pseudomonadota bacterium
Lineage: Bacteria; Pseudomonadati; Pseudomonadota
Description: bacterial SSU rRNA
Rfam family: Bacterial small subunit ribosomal RNA
Source: RNAcentral